RNAcentral lists this long non-coding RNA (924 nucleotides) under Olea europaea subsp. europaea. Lineage: Eukaryota; Viridiplantae; Streptophyta; Magnoliopsida; Lamiales; Oleaceae. The record is from RNAcentral.
CAAUUGCUAAGCACUAUCAGAGACUUGGAGGGAAAUAUACAAACUUUUACUAGAAAAAUUGAAUUGCUGAAAAGUCGAGCAGCAGAUUUGCACGUAGAAUCACAAAAUGCAGCACAUCUUUCUGGAAAAAAAAGGCAAGAGAGAGGUUGAAGAUUGGUUGAUUAACGUCGGAAGAUGUAUACGAGAAUUCGAAAGCUUGGAACAAGAAGUACAAUCCAACAGAUUUUAUCUUGCUUAUUCACAACAAAAGUUGGCAGAAGGAGUUGAAAGAAUGAUCAAGGAAGUGGCAGAGCUUGUUGAGCAAGCGGAUUUUUCUGGAGGGCUUUUUCUUGAGGAUAAUGAGAGUAUUGGGUUAAAGUUGCAAGAUCUAUUUUUAGACGAAAAAUGGUAGUUCGAUUGCUCUGUUGGAAUCUGGUUUCGAGUUCUAUCCAUAGAUCAAACGGGGUAGCACAAUAAACAAGGCUACUAGCAAGGGUCUUUUCUAUGGAGUGGAGGUGCCACGACAUGAUCAUGUCGCAACAUCGAUCCCAGAGGGCUGAAGCAGUGGGAUCGGUGGGUUUGGAGAGAGUUCCGUUAACAAACCCCAGCUUAUUCUUAGCAUUGAGAGCCCGAGUAACUGCCCGGCGCCAAGCGGAGUAAUUAUCACCAUUCAAUGGUGUAUCGACAAGCACAUUACUGGGUUGAUCGGAGGAGUGAAGAAAAUAUGGCGAGGAGGCAUCUGUGAUUGCUUUGGUGAUGUCAAGAGUGGGUUGAGCAACCAUCGGAGGUAAGAUUGCUAAACCUAUGCGUCUGAUACCAUGUUAAAGUGCUGAAUGAGUGUGGACUUUUCAUUGAUUUGGUAAUUGUGGAUACAAUGCAUAUAUGCACAAAAAUAAUAAAGUCUAAAUAAGGCAUUUCACAAUUACAGUGGAUGAAAUCUCGGUA